UACCUGCUGCGUUGUACGUGAACGAAUGAAGUUUCAACCGAUGGCUGUAAAGAGGGAGUUCUAUAUCGAAACGGGAAUGUCAUGCCUCCCAUUGAUGAUGGCAGAGGACGACAAGAACGUUUCUGCGAACACCCACCUAGUGGAGUGUGGUUGAGAAACUCCAUUCAAACAACGGCAAAUCGCGGCACUUUC
This 192-nucleotide non-coding RNA is filed under the name Thermaerobacillus caldiproteolyticus. RNAcentral's name for it is "Geobacillus caldoproteolyticus 6S / SsrS RNA". It matches the Rfam family "6S / SsrS RNA". Rfam says of the family: E. coli 6S RNA was the first non coding RNA to be sequenced, but its function was unknown until recently. It consists of 184 nucleotides that fold into an extended hairpin structure with a large single-stranded internal bulge. The 6S RNA specifically associates with RNA polymerase holoenzyme containing the sigma70 specificity factor. The record is from Rfam by way of RNAcentral. Lineage: Bacteria; Bacillati; Bacillota; Bacilli; Caryophanales; Anoxybacillaceae.